AGAGUUUGAUCAUGGCUCAGAUUGAACGCUGGCGGCGUGCCUAACACAUGCAAGUCGAGCGGUAACAGGUGUAGCAAUACAUGCUGACGAGCGGCGAACGGGUGAGUAAUGCUUCGGAAUCUGCCCAAUGGUGGGGAAUAACCAGCCGAAAGGUUGGCUAAUACCGCAUACGUCCUACGGGAGAAAGCAGGGGAUCGUAAGACCUUGCGCCAAUGGAUGAGCCGAAGUCGGAUUAGCUAGUUGGUAGGGUAACGGCCUACCAAGGCGACGAUCCGUAGCUGGUCUGAGAGGACGACCAGCCACACUGGGACUGAGACACGGCCCAGACUCCUACGGGAGGCAGCAGUGGGGAAUAUUGGACAAUGGGGGAAACCCUGAUCCAGCGACGCCGCGUGUGUGAAGAAGGCCUGCGGGUUGUAAAGCACUUUUAGUGGGGAUGAAAAGUUCAGGGCUAAUACCCUUGGAUCUUGACCUAACCCACAGAAAAAGCACCGGCUAACUCUGUGCCAGCAGCCGCGGUAAUACAGAGGGUGCAAGCGUUAAUCGGAAUUACUGGGCGUAAAGCGUGCGUAGACGGUUACAUAAGUCGGGUGUGAAAGCCCCGGGCUCAACCUGGGAAUUGCAUUCGAGACUGCGUAGCUAGGGUGCGGAAGAGGGAAGCGGAAUUUCCGGUGUAGCGGUGAAAUGCGUAGAUAUCGGAAGGAACACCAGUGGCGAAAGCGGCUUCCUGGUCCAGCACCGACGUUCAGGCACGAAAGCGUGGGGAGCAAACAGGAUUAGAUACCCUAGUAGUCC
This 795-nucleotide ribosomal RNA is filed under the name uncultured bacterium. RNAcentral's name for it is "bacterial SSU rRNA". It matches the Rfam family "Bacterial small subunit ribosomal RNA", at positions 8 to 796 of the family's 1533-position model. The record is from RNAcentral.